RNAcentral lists this microRNA (23 nucleotides) under Bos taurus (domestic cattle). RNAcentral describes it as "bta-miR-2430". Lineage: Eukaryota; Metazoa; Chordata; Mammalia; Artiodactyla; Bovidae. The record is from miRBase by way of RNAcentral.
UCUGGGUCGGCAGGGGUUUCCGG